UGGGGAAUAUUGCACAAUGGGCGCAAGCCUGAUGCAGCCAUGCCGCGUGUGUGAAGAAGGCCUUCGGGUUGUAAAGCACUUUCAGCGAGGAGGAAGGUGGUGAGCUUAAUACGCUCAUCAAUUGACGUUACUCGCAGAAGAAGCACCGGCUAACUCCGUGCCAGCAGCCGCGGUAAUACGGAGGGUGCAAGCGUUAAUCGGAAUUACUGGGCGUAAAGCGCACGCAGGCGGUUUGUUAAGUCAGAUGUGAAAUCCCCGGGCUCAACCUGGGAACUGCAUUUGAAACUGGCAAGCUAGAGUCUCGUAGAGGGGGGUAGAAUUCCAGGUGUAGCGGUGAAAUGCGUAGAGAUCUGGAGGAAUACCGGUGGCGAAGGCGGCCCCCUGGACGAAGACUGACGCUCAGGUGCGAAAGCGUGGGGCAGCAAACAGGAUUAGAUACCCUGGUAGUCCACGCUGUAAACGAUGUCGAUUUUGGAGGUUGUGCCCUUGAGGCGUGGCUUCCGGAGCUAACGCGUUAAAUCGACCGCCUGGGGAGUACGGCCGCAAGGUUAAAACUUAAAUGAAUUGAC
RNAcentral lists this ribosomal RNA (569 nucleotides) under uncultured bacterium. Its description in RNAcentral is "partial 16S ribosomal RNA". It matches the Rfam family "Bacterial small subunit ribosomal RNA", at positions 355 to 914 of the family's 1533-position model. The record is from RNAcentral.